This 353-nucleotide unclassified non-coding RNA is filed under the name soil metagenome. Its description in RNAcentral is "partial contains 5.8S ribosomal RNA, internal transcribed spacer 2, and large subunit ribosomal RNA". The stretch from base 1 to 120 matches the Rfam family "5.8S ribosomal RNA", at positions 35 to 154 of the family's 154-position model. The record is from RNAcentral.
GAUGAAGAACGCAGCGAAACGCGAUAUGUAAUGUGAAUUGCAGAAUUCAGUGAAUCAUCGAAUCUUUGAACGCACAUGGCGCCUUCCAGUAUCCUGGGAGGCACGCCUGUCCGAGCGUCGUUUCAACCCUCGAGCCCCCGUGGCCCGGCGUUGGGGAUCUGCCCAGGCAGUCCCCGAAAACCAGUGGCGGACCCGUUACAGGCCCUUCCCUUGCGUAGUAGCAUUCGCCUCGCAUCGGGAGCCGGCGGGCUUCCAGCCUCUAAACCCCCAUCAAGUCCGCCCCGGCGGCACCAAGGUUGACCUCGGAUCAGGUAGGAAUACCCGCUGAACUUAAGCAUAUCAAAAGCGGAGGA